Long non-coding RNA from Canis lupus familiaris (dog), 663 nucleotides. RefSeq lists it as uncharacterized. The transcript has 3 exons. The record is from RefSeq and is a predicted model, not a curated record. Lineage: Eukaryota; Metazoa; Chordata; Mammalia; Carnivora; Canidae.
GGUACAGAGUGGAGUGGCUCACUAUUGCUUCCAUGGAGGCAGGAGCCCAAGAACCUCAGCUCCUGGUCUGUUGCCACCACCAAAGAGCAGAGUACAGGAGGGUUUCUUUGGAGUUGCGAGCCAGUCAACAAGCCCCCCCCCCCCAUAAGCAUUUCCCUAGCUUCUACUCUGGGCUGGGUCCUCUGCUCAGAGGCACAAUCCCUACUCCAGGUGACCAUUUCAUUGGUCUUUUUUUCUCUUUGAAGAAGUGAAUAUAAGAAAUAAUUUUUUUUUAGAAAAGAGAAGAUCAAAAGGAAAAUACCAAAGCGCGUUUCCCAGACUGGCUGAGUUACACCUGCCUGGCUGACCCCACAGGGCCAAAGACUCUGAAGCAGAAAUAUUUCCUCUGAUGCAGGAGUCGCAGGACUGUGAAGGUGUAGCUGCCUUCUGAGAGGCCCCCAGACGUCAAAUUGCCAGAUUUGACACAUUGCAUCCCAACAGAGAACCAGGUGAUGACUUCUAAGGGCAUUGCCAGUUCCAGAAGCCUUCCCACGCACGUUGAUCGCUGAAAAUACAAGCAAUCAAGAGAAAUACAAAAAGCCAAUGGCAUGACCACUGCCGGUGUAACCAGCAAGCAAAGCUCUGCUAGCAAAAGCAAGUUUCAUUUUUUUCCCCUUUCCUAAG